AGAGUUUGAUCAUGGCUCAGAGUGAACGCUGGCGGCGUGCCUAACACAUGCAAGUCGAACGAGAACGGAUUAUAGCUUGCUGUAAUUGUCAGCUAAGUGGCGCACGGGUGAGUAAUAUAUAGUUAACCUGCCUCAAAGAAGAGAAUAAUUGUUGGAAACGACUUGUAAUGCUCUAUAUGCCUUUAUCACAUAAGUGAGCAAGGGAAAUAUUUAUAGCUUUGAGAUGGGACUGUACGGUAUCAGUUUGUUGGUGAGGUAAUGGCUCACCAAGACUAUGACGCCUAACUGGUUUGAGAGGAUGAUCAGUCACACUGGAACUGAGACACGGUCCAGACUCCUACGGGAGGCAGCAGUGGGGAAUAUUGCACAAUGGAGGAAACUCUGAUGCAGCAACGCCGCGUGGAGGAUGACACAUUUCGGUGCGUAAACUCCUUUUAUUAGGGAAGAUAAUGACGGUACCUAAUGAAUAAGCACCGGCUAACUCCGUGCCAGCAGCCGCGGUAAUACGGGGGGUGCAAGCGUUACUCGGAAUCACUGGGCGUAAAGAGCAUGUAGGCUGGUUUGUAAGUUGGAAGUGAAAUCCUAUGGCUUAACCAUAGAACUGCUUCCAAAACUGCAGACCUAGAGUAUGGGAGAGGUAGAUGGAAUUUCUGGUGUAGGGGUAAAAUCCGUAGAGAUCAGAAG
Molecule: ribosomal RNA, 684 nt
Filed under: uncultured bacterium
Lineage: Bacteria
Description: bacterial SSU rRNA
Rfam family: Bacterial small subunit ribosomal RNA
Source: RNAcentral